CCUAUAUAGGAGUAAUAGCCAGAAGGAACGAGAACAGCUUUUGAUAGGUGGUGCUGAUUUUGUUGAGACUGUUAUCAGUAGAAUAGUUUCUGAUCCUAUUCAUGUAAUGGCUAGGAAAUUUCAUGAAAUGACAGGACAAUCUGCAUCUCUAGUGAAGGAGAGUAUUCGUGAGAUCAUGUUAAAUGUUGAUAAGCAAGGACAACUAUAUGCAUUUCAGAAUGCUUUGCAUAACAGGUCUGACUUAACCUUGGAUAUGCUACUGAAAUCCCAUCGUUUUCAAUUGGAAAUCUUGGUUGCUCUAAAAACUGGUCUUCGGGAAUAUCUUCAAGUAGACAAUAAUAUUUCAUCUUCUGAUUUGGCGGAGGUUUUCCUGAACUUAAGAUGUAGAAAUCUAGUCUGUCGAAGUCCUUUGCCUGUGGAUGAAUGUGAUUGCAAAGUUUGUGCAAGGAAGAAUGGUUUUUGUAGUGCAUGUAUGUGCCUUGUGUGUUCAAAGUUUGACAUGGCAUAUCAAACAUGUAGUUGGGUUGGGUGUGAUGUUUGUCUUCAUUGGUGCCAUGCUGAUUGUGCAUUGCGGAAGUCAUACAUUAGAAAUGGUAGGAGUGCUACUGUGGCUCAAGGAACUGGUGAGGUACAGUUUCAUCUGUGUUGCUUGUGAUCACCCCUCUGAGAUGUUUGGGUUUGUCAAGGAGGUUUUUCAGAACUUUGCAAAGACGUGGACAGCAGAAACAUUUUGCAAGGAACUUGAGUAUGUGAAGAGAAUUUUUAGUGCUAGCAAGGAUUUUAGGGGGAGGCAGCUGCAUGAAAUUGCUAAUCGGAUGCUAGAAAAAUUGGCAAAUAAGCAUAAUCUUUCUGAGGUUUAUAGUAAUAUCAUAGGCUUCUUGACCGAAACUGAUUCUUCCAAGUUUGGCAAUCCUUCAGUGUUCUCUGAGAAGGAACAAGGAAAUGGAAGCAAUGGGGGGAUUGCUGGGCCUAGCCAGGAUUCCUCGUGGCUCAAAUCACUUUAUUCAGAAAAAGCUCCAAAAUUGGAAAGAUCAACUAGCCUACUUCCUAGCUUUCAUACAGAUUUGAAUGAUAAACGACCUGUAGAGUCUGAGCCGGAGAGGAGUGCCCAAAAAGAACCCAUUUUUGAUGAACUGGAGAGCAUUGUGAGAAUUAAACAAGCAGAAGCUAAAAUGUUUCAGGCACGUGCUGAUGAUGCAAGAAGGGAAGCUGAUGGCCUGAAACUAAUUGCGAUUGCGAAGAAUGAGAAAAUUGAAGAAGAGUAUAGAAGCAGAAUCGCAAAACUGCGGUUUGCUGAGGCCGAGGAAAUGCGGAAACAAAAAUAUGAAGAAUUCCAGGCUUUGGAAAGAGCUCAUCGGGAAUACUUGAGUAUGAAGAUGAGGAUGGAAGAAGAUAUCAAGAAUCUGUUGUUGAAAAUGGAAGCUACAAAACGAAACCUUGCCAUAUGAUUCCCUAAUGAAUAGGGUUUUGCAUUAGAAAUGCUAUGUUCACAGGUAAAUCUUAGAAUCAAAAGUUGUUCGCUGUAAUUUCGAUGUAGCUGUGUCUUUUAAUCUAGUUUUUCUUUACUCUUUAUUUGUUUACUAUCCUUCCUUUCU
RNAcentral lists this unclassified non-coding RNA (1595 nucleotides) under Hevea brasiliensis (rubber tree). The record is from RNAcentral. Lineage: Eukaryota; Viridiplantae; Streptophyta; Magnoliopsida; Malpighiales; Euphorbiaceae.